AUUGAACGCUGGCGGCAGGCCUAACACAUGCAAGUCGAGCGGCAGCGCGGGGGCAACCCUGGCGGCGAGCGGCGAACGGGUGAGUAAUACAUGGGAAUCUGCCUGGUAGUGGGGGAUAACUCUGGGAAACUAGAGGUAAUACCGCAUACGUCCUACGGGAGAAAGGGGGGGAUCUUCGGACCUCUCGCUAUCAGAGGAGCCCAUGUCCGAUUAGCUAGUUGGUGAGGUAAAGGCUCACCAAGGCGACGAUCGGUAACUGGUCUGAGAGGAUGGUCAGUCACACUGGAACUGAGACACGGUCCAGACUCCUACGGGAGGCAGCAGUGGGGAAUAUUGGACAAUGGGGGCAACCCUGAUCCAGCCAUGCCGCGUGUGUGAAGAAGGCC
This 386-nucleotide ribosomal RNA is filed under the name uncultured bacterium. Its description in RNAcentral is "bacterial SSU rRNA". It matches the Rfam family "Bacterial small subunit ribosomal RNA", at positions 29 to 416 of the family's 1533-position model. The record is from RNAcentral.